UACGGAGGGUGCAAGCGUUAUCCGGAUUCACUGGGUUUAAAGGGUGCGUAGGCGGGCAGGUAAGUCCGUGGUGAAAUCUCUGAGCUUAACUCAGAAACUGCCAUGGAUACUAUUUGUCUUGAAUAUUGUGGAGGUGAGCGGAAUAUGUCAUGUAGCGGUGAAAUGCUUAGAUAUGACAUAGAACACCAAUUGCGAAGGCAGCUCACUACACGAAUAUUGACACUGAGGCACGAAAGCGUGGGGAUCAAACAGG
Molecule: ribosomal RNA, 253 nt
Filed under: uncultured bacterium
Lineage: Bacteria
Description: partial 16S ribosomal RNA
Rfam family: Bacterial small subunit ribosomal RNA
Source: RNAcentral